GAUGAACGCUGGCGGCGUGCCUAAUACAUGCAAGUCGAGCGAACGGACGAGAAGCUUGCUUCUCUGAUGUUAGCGGCGGACGGGUGAGUAACACGUGGAUAACCUACCUAUAAGACUGGGAUAACUUCGGGAAACCGGAGCUAAUACCGGAUAAUAUUUUGAACCGCAUGGUUCAAAAGUAAAAGACGGUCUUGCUGUCACUUAUAGAUGGAUCCGCGCUGCAUUAGCUAGUUGGUAAGGUAACGGCUUACCAAGGCCACGAUGCAUAGCCGACCUGAGAGGGUGAUCGGCCACACUGGAACUGAGACACGGUCCAGACUACUACGGGAGGCAGCAGUAGGGAAUCUUCCGCAAUGGGCGAAAGCCUGACGGAGCAACGCCGCGUGAGUGAUGAAGGUCUUCGGAUCGUAAAACUCUGUUAUUAGGGAAGAACAUAUGUGUAAGUAACUGUGCACAUCUUGACGGUACCUAAUCAGAAAGCCACGGCUAACUACGUG
This 497-nucleotide ribosomal RNA is filed under the name uncultured bacterium. RNAcentral's name for it is "partial 16S ribosomal RNA". It matches the Rfam family "Bacterial small subunit ribosomal RNA", at positions 28 to 507 of the family's 1533-position model. The record is from RNAcentral.